RNAcentral lists this long non-coding RNA (7334 nucleotides) under Malus domestica (apple). Its description in RNAcentral is "long non-coding RNA (MDOM_LNC006666)". The record is from RNAcentral. Lineage: Eukaryota; Viridiplantae; Streptophyta; Magnoliopsida; Rosales; Rosaceae.
CAACUUUUGUUUCCAGAUCAAUUUAUCCGCAAUUUGCAAAUACCAAGGUCAUUAGUUAUCUGUGAGCACAUGUGAUUUAAAAAUUCACUGUCACUGACUUUGCUCUGCUGAUUAAAUUCUGUGAUCAGUUUAGUUUUUUUGCUUUGUUUGAUCAUUUGAUUAGUCGUUGGACCGUACGGAUUAAAUUACGUAUAGAGAUAAUAAGUGUUGUUUUUUAUUUUUUCCAUUGAGAUUGGUUUAGAUUUGAUUUAUAAAAAAUAAAAUAAAAAAACUGACAAAGAAAUGAUACGCAGUGAUAUAGAAUGGUUAAAUUACGAUCUCAGUAUCUGUGAGCACAUUCGAAUUGUAAAAUCUGGUAAAUUAUUUGAAGCAAUUCUGAUUUCAGCUUUUUGGACUUUACAAAUAGGAAGAUGAGGAGAUAAAAAGAAGUACAAAGGGAUGCAUUUAGCUUCCACUUUUUCAUCGUUUAUUUGGUCAAUUCUUGCAUUGUUUUAUUUGGUGAAUUCUUGAUUAACGACUGGUUCUUCUUGGUUGGUCUAAUUGGGUAACUUAAGAAUUUCAUUUGUUGAUUAAAUUUCAUGUGAGAAUUUUUUGUCCUGAUGGAUCCUUUUUUUUUACCAUUAUUCAAUUUUUUUAAUGAUGUAGUUGAGUUCAGUAUUCCUUUGGAGUCUCUGCAAGUUUAAAGUAAUCUAUGUUGUUGUUGUUUUGAUUGUGCGUUUUGUGACUUACGUUAUUUUAAUAAGAAUGUUUUCAAUUUACUGUAAUCUCAAUCUCAAUGGAUUUUUUAUGAUACGCCUUAUUAGUGAAUUUAUCUACAUUUUUCAAAUGUUGGUCUCGACGAUUGUGAUCACUGCACUAUGUGGAUUUUGUUUGAAUUCCUAAAUUGUGUCGAACAUUUGACAAGUGCUUCUUGAAUAAAUUUCGAGUAAAGAGCGUCCAAAUAUGACAAUUUCAGGGUUUCAAAUUCAUUGGAAAAUAUGAAAUAAUUUUGCAUAGUUUCUGAUUAAUGCGAAACGUUGGUACUUUUGUAGUGAUAUAUGCUUUUGGAGAAAGUUGUAAAGUUUGAUACUUUUCAGCUUUAAUCUACUUUUUCCGUUGUCUUAAGGUAUAGAUCCCCGCAUUUAAUUUACUUCUUUUUCCAGGAGCAGUUUGAAGGAUUAAAAUGUUGUCAUUUGGUAUAGAUGAUCUUGGUUUAGCAAAUUGAUAGCGAGAUGGAACACUCCUAACUGCAUUGUAACUCCUAACUACGUUGUAAGUUCUACUCACUCAUCCUAUAAGAGUUGCUUCAUAAUUGUAAUAUUCAAAGCCAGAUAGCUAUUUCAGUUAUGGUUCGAUUAUUAUUUUCCUUUUCAAUUGUUAUUCUUCAUUUUUGAUGUGGUUGCUGUUUGUGAUUUCCAUGCAAUAUGAUCCAUACUCUCAGUUUUCUUUUGAGAAUUCCUCUCUUUGCCUUUUCCCAAUGUUAAUAUUUUUCACCAUGAUAGAAAUUUUAGGGUCUAUGUUAGUAUAUAUAUUAAUUUUGAUCCUACAAGUUCAAGGCAUUGAUGAUGGAAUUAAGUUCAACUCUGCUCAUUGUUCCUUUUGUAGAUAAGGUUGUACAGGAGCAAGACGUAGCACCGCAGCAUCGCGCGGGUAGUCUUGCUAGUUAGUAUCUAUAUACCAUGUUGUCACUAAAUUAGUAUCUAUAUGUCCUUUAUUCUAGAUCCAAAACCCUAAACCCUAAAAUUCAAACUAUAAUAUAACCAUUGUCAAAGCGUAGAGGAUUGAUCACGAGCGUUGAUAUAAUUUUUUUACAAUUUUCGCACUUAUAAAUUAAUUAUUAUGAAUUAUUACACAUUUUCAACUCCACCUAAAAAUAGUGUUCACCAGGGUUUGGAGGGUUUUAAAAAAUUCAAACGACGAUGGGUACAUCGUCAAAGCGUAAAAUAUGCGAUCAUGAGCUUUUUCAUAUUUGUUUCAUAUUUCUUACACUUGUAAAUUAAAUAUUAUGAAUUUUUAAUGUAAUUUGAUUUUUCCUACACAAUAACAAAGCACAACAAAAAAAAUUUCCUACUAAUUAAUUACAAGUGUGAAAAAUAUAAAAAUACUUGUGAUCGUGACAGCCCAGCUCUCCUAAGGUCCUUAUUUUGAGGACCUAUGAGAACCAAAUCUAUAUUAGCCAUAAGAUUAUAUUAGUUUAGAUCCAAAUACUCAAAAUAUUUGACAACUUAAUAAAGCAAAACCAACUUAAAAUCCAUAAACCAUUAGAAAACUCAUUUUCUUGUUUUGCUUUAUUAAGUAGUCAAAUAUGUUAAGCCUUUAGGUCUAACUAAUAUAAUCUUGUGGUUAAUAUACAUUUGGUCUUCACAAGUCCUUAAAAUAAGGACAUUAGGAGAGCAGGACAACGUGAUCGCAUCCCCUACGCUUUGAUGAUAGGCAAAUCGUCGUUUGGAUUUUUAAAACCCUUCAAACCCUCAUGUACAAAUCCAUAAUAAUUAAUGUACUAGUGUGAAAAAAAAUAUACAAACGCUUUGCAUCCUCGACGCCUGGAAGAUGAUUACAUUGUCGUUUGGAUUUUUAAACCCUCCAAACCCUCAUGAAUAGUGUUUUUUGUUUGAGUACAAACUUAAUAAUAAUUUCAAACUUUUAAAGGCUCGUUUAGAAGUGCUUUCAAAAUUACUGAAAGCGAUUUUGAUGAGAGUGCUUUUAGAACCAAUCCUUAGUAAAAAGUGAAUCCUCUAAAAGCACUUAAAGUGCUAGUAGUGCUUCUUGCAUGAAGCAUUUCCAGUGCUUUUGGAACCAAAAAAUACUUUCACCAAAAACACUUUCAGUCAUUUUAAAAUCACUUCCAAAUGAACCAUAAUUUAAAAACAAGAAGAUCUAAGUGUUUCUCCAACUUAAUGUCCUAGAAGAUAAUCCUUUAAAAGUAUAUUUUGAGAAAGAGUUAGAAUUGAGAAAAUAGAAGUUGCUAAAGUAACCAAAAAAAAAAAAUCUUAAAUAAAAUUAUGAAUUUUGCAAAAAAAAAAAAAAAAACAUGAAUUAUCAAUAUUUAUGAGUUAUUUCUUUUAUGUGUUUCAUCUACUAAUGGGAUUACAAUCCCUAUAUGGCCGAGAUAUACCAUGAAUCCAAUGCAACAAAGAUAUUUUCUUAAACGGCACUCUUAAUUAGUGACCUUUAGCAAUGUCUCCAUAAGUUCAAUGUUCACUAAUCAAAUGCGCGUAUAGUGAGGGGUUCAAACUAACCAAUUAAGGAGAGUGUGCCGUAAUGAAUCAUUUUCAAGCUCAUAUUUCCUACUAUAAAGACAUAAUAACCAACCAUGGAAACGUAAAUGUUCCUCUUCGAAGAAACCCAUAGCUUCCGGAUUUUACUAUUCUUUAGAGUCUAACUUAGACAUUGGAGGGGUUUUUGUUCACACCACACCAUUAAUCAGUAUGACAAGGUUUUACUUAUCAAUUCUCUCAUUUGUCACAGGAACACCGUAACUAUUUGACCCUCGUGUAAAAUUCGUUCCUCAUAGUAUUUGGAUAUUAAAAUUAGACUGUGUGGUUGAGCAAUAAGCAAUCAAAUAAAUGAGGGCGAUCAAAAUAAAAAUAUUUGCGAAGCUUUGUAACCUAAAUAGGUGUAAAGAAUAUUUGAGCAUUAGUGGUACCACUUAAGUUGAUUUAGUGUGAGUGUGAUUGUGAAGGACAAUUAUUUCAGCAUCAUUAUGUAAAAUCACCAAUCUUAACAUCUUAGUGACUGUGUAGACACCAAUUAUUUGGUACUAGAGUUUAGAUAUGUCUUUCAUUCUGAUGGCGAACGAGCAUCAACAUGAUUAAAGCCGCUGUUACUGUGACGUAAUCCUGAUGGACUUUCACAAAUCUAAAUCCAAUCAUUCAUUUGGCAAUUAGUAUUACGAUUUAAUGAUAUUAUUCUUCACUUGUAAGUGAGAGAUUUUAAAUUUGAUUAUCGUCAAAAGUAAAUUUGAACCACAUAAAUAAUUGGUAUUUCUCUUCACUCUUGUAAGGGAGAGGGUUGAUUAUCCCGUUUGAGAGAAAAAAAAUAAAAAAUCCAAUCAUCCAUCUUUUGUAAUCAAAAGGUUGUCACCACUGGCAAGCACUAGUCAAUAUCAUUUGGUUUAACACUCACUGCAACGCAUGAUUACUCAUCACAUCCAAAGAGCAUCGCAAUAUGUAUUUAUUUUGUAUUUAUAUAUGUUAAAAUGUGAUAUAUCAACCUUGUUCCUCAGUUAUAUUAUAACCACUGUUCGAAAAGUCCAUGCCUAGCGCCGAGCAGUUGGUCACCAUCCCGAUUAAUGCUUAGAUGUAUAAAAAUUAAUAAAGGACGUCUAAGCCUGUUGAGGCGUCCUCCUAGACGUCUAGCCCGUCCAGGGCUGCCUAAGCACUCGCCUAGGUUGCGACUCACUUAGACAGAAAAUAGAUUACUUUCAUUUUGUAUUUUAUUUUUUUUUCAAUAAAUUGUAAGAGACUUAUUGAAUGCUUAAAUGAACACACAUUAUAUGCUUGUUCCUCAUGUUUUUCCUCAUAUUCCAAUACUUUAUAAUAUAUAUGUCAUUCUAUUUUGUAGUUUAUGAUGCUGAAAUUAUAUAUAUUUUAAGUAUAAAUACACUUAUUUACACGAAAUAUAUAGAUCUACUUAAAUUAGCCUAGGCGCUAGGUCCCAGUCCGCCGUCUAACUAGCACUUAGCGUUUUUAGAACCUUAAUUAUAACAAAUAAAGUAAUGAUAAAUUUUUAAGCUUAAUAUUGUCAUCAUAAAAAUAUCUCGAUGAUAUUAGGAGUUGAAUCUUCUACAUAUAAAAUAUAUAUUAUUUUGUUAUAUUUUUGACACGAAUUUAUUCUCUAACAAGCAAUACUUGACGUGACAUAGUUCCAAAUAUAGGUAAAAAUUUAUCUAAAAUGAGAGAGAAGGGAUUUUAUGUCUUUAGUUUUGUCUCACACCGCAGUGUUUAGCUAGUCGUUAAUUAUUUGUUUAGAGGAAGUAAUAGGAGCUCAAUGAUUAGAGACUCGUGGGUCAUUUUUUAACAUAAAGCUUGCCAGUUGGCAUUAUGCAAGACAUGACAAUUUUCUGUAUUUUCUUGAAUACAGGCCAAUGGCCAAAUGAAGUGUGGCAAAUAAUGAAGGGGGAGAUAAUAAUGAAUACCAUGAACAAGAUAACCACUAAUGCACUGGGUUUUAAAUUUCAUUUAAGUCUAAUGGAAGCAUUGGGGCCCUUUUAGGGUUCCCCACUAAAUUCAUUUACACCCUAAUUCUAUAUACAUACAUAUACACACACACACACACACCUAACUAUUUCUUUAGUUACUUGGUAUUGUCACCUAGUUUCGGUACCCUACAUGGUUGUCUACAUUCUUUGGACUCCACAUUAAUUCAUUUCAUUUUCUUAAUUAUAUCAACAUCAAGCCACCUAACGUUACCGUCUAAUAUUAUUUUUCUUCACUUGUAAGUUAGAGGUUAUAAGUUUGAUCAACUCUGAUAAAUAGGAAAUUCAAUACUCAUUAUUUUGCUAGUUCGUUGUAUGACUUGUCCCAAAUCUCUGAUCCCUUAGUAUAAACACACCGUUGUAUUGAAAAUAUUUGGGCAGAUCACUUCUAAUGGAAUCUUGAAGUGUUUGCUACAUACACUCACAUGGUUUAACUAGUUAUGAUUUGUUUUUCCGGGUAAUAACUAUGCAUAAUUUUUGGUUCAACAAAUAUUUGUUGUUUAGUGGCAUGCAUAUAUAAAAAUGAAGAGAAAUAGAGAUUGUCCCUCUUCAACUUGACACUACUUGAACCCCCACGAAUCCUUCACUUCAGUUUCAUUAGAUAAUUUUGUAGAAUCAUAUUUUUCUUCUUCAAGUUUUUCAUAGUAGAUCUAAGAUUUGAAGAUGAGAGAAUAAGAGUCGAACUUUUAUUAUGAAUAACAAAAAUAUUUUAUUACUAAUUCUAUGCAUUGCUUCUAAUUUUGCAUAUUAUUUUAUAAGCAUAAAAUUCAAGAAAUAUCACUGUAUCCUUGACAUUUGAAUAUUAAGUGACCCUAUAAAUUUAGCUAAAAAUGGUCGUGGUAGUUUCUAAGAUUUGAAGACAAAAGAACAAGAGUUGAACUUUUAUUGUGAGUAAUAAUUAAUAAUAUAUUAUUAUUAAUUUUAUGCGUUGCUCGUAAUUUUUCUUAUUAUUUUACACGCAUAAUUUAGGAAAUCACUCUAUUCUUGACAUUGGCACAUUAGGCGACCCCUAAGCUCAGCUAAAAAUGGUAGUGGGUAGUUUCUAAUUAGCUAAAAAAUAUUUCCACAAUGAUCCUAAUACACAAUACUUACAUAAAUGAAGACAAUAAAGGAAGUGAAUUGUUAUUAGCACUCCAAAAAUCUCAUUCUACACUCCUCACAAGUGUAUUUUUCUUUCUAAUUAUAAAAAGUUUGGACUGUAAAAUAAGAUUUUUAGAAUGCCAAUAAUAAUUUCCUAAAAGAAAAGUAAUUAUAAAGACAUCAUUAGUACAUCAAGUACUUCAUUCUCCAAGUACCUCUCCGAGAGAGAGAGAAAUUGAAAAAUGAAAGAAAAAGAAAAAAGAAAAAAAGAAAAAGAAAGAAGGGCAGUAUAAACCUUUGAAAGUGGGUAGCUUUUAAAAGUCAUUUAACAUAAAAUUGCUUAAAAUCUAGGAAGGUGGUUAACUUUAUGGUCUUCUUCUCUGUGAACCCCAUGAAACCCUCUCACUAAAGAAAACUUAGGAUUGGAUCCCCUUGCGUAUAGAAUUAAAGGAAAGAUCCUAUUCUAUUAGUGAAAAGUAACAGGCAAUCAUGAUAGUCCUUUUAUUACUAAUGUAGUGUUUACUGACCGAGUUUUAAAUUAGAUUGGAUAAUAAGACGGAUAUAUAAUUACUUUUAUAGUUUCAGAAUAACAAUCAUGCAAAUAGAAAUCUAACACAGUUUAUUCUGCUCAUAUAGUACAUUGGGGGAAAGAUUAUGCACUUUUCUCUUUUCCAAUGCCAGUUAUAAGCAAACUAACAAAUAUUGUUUUACGGCUUAUUCUCUAAAUUGCCUUCUGAAACUGUAAUUUAGUCUCGAUUUACAUUUUUGAAAUUGGUUUUGUCUUACUUUACCUUCUGAAACGACCAUUUUUAACUCUUUUGGUCUAAGGUAACGCUAAAUUCAAGAGCAUUUUGAGCAUUUAACUUCUUACACCUUUUUGUCUUGCCUCCAUCAUUCCUUUCAGUUCAAGCAACUGAUCUUCUUGGUAAAACAAAUUGGAGUCAUGAAAGAAGAGAACGAAAUUUGACGAUUUAUUAUGUUUGAAUUUGACAUUUUUUCACUGAAUGGGGUGGAGUGAGACUAAAUGAAUUGCUUAUGACAGUUUUAGAAGGUAAAAUGAGACAAAACCAGUUUCUGG